AUGCCACUGCUAGAUUUUCUAGACUUAGAAAAACAUUUAUUAUUUAGACAGGUACAUCUAGUGUGGCCAUCAUGGUUGUAUUGUAUCAAGAGGUUCAUCCAUUUUCCCUCUUCAGUAUUAAAAAUUGUCCAAGAAUGCAAGCGACUUCAGUUUAUUAGCGGGAAAUGUAUGCCAUCACUGAAUCCAUCAAAAAGUGGCGUAAAUAUCUGA
This is a non-coding RNA of Vicia faba (fava bean), 210 nucleotides long. The record is from the annotation of a GenBank genome assembly. NCBI's taxonomy places the organism in Eukaryota, Viridiplantae, Streptophyta, Magnoliopsida, Fabales, Fabaceae.